This 455-nucleotide long non-coding RNA is filed under the name Setaria italica (foxtail millet). Its description in RNAcentral is "long non-coding RNA (SITA_LNC001511)". The record is from RNAcentral. Lineage: Eukaryota; Viridiplantae; Streptophyta; Magnoliopsida; Poales; Poaceae.
UAAUCACUAGUGAACCGGAGCUCUUAAACGAUCAUAGCAUUAAUUAGCAUGCAUCAGCUUACCGUGUAGGCUUUCCACAUGGAUUUCAAACCAAAACAAAAUAUGCACUAUGAUACUGGGUCAAUUUAAUUCAGCAGAUCGUUCUCGUGAUGCUAGAGUCCAACCGACAGACCUAACGGCCUUGUAUCGACGUGUGAGUCAGUUCUCUCGUAACCAAGACCCUUGUGUCUAUGUCUAUGUGUGACUCAUUGAUUUUCUCGUAACCAAGUGCUUCAUGGAUGCAGAAGGAACCGUUGGACGAGUGGGGAAUAGAGACAAGAACGUAGCGAUUCUCGGAUACGAUGUGCUGGCUCUUCCUCCGAUUCCUCCCAUUCCCAAUGGACCUCCCUCACCAUCUCCUGUUCUCCUAGCUAGCAUGCACAUCCUCUCCCCCCUCUAUCUUCUGGUUUAUUGCC